UACGUAGGGCGCAAGCGUUGUCCGGAAUUAUUGGGCGUAAAGAGCUCGUAGGUGGCGUGUCGCGUCUGCCGUGAAAGCCCAUGGCUUAACUGUGGGUCUGCGGUGGAUACGGGCAGGCUGGAGGCUGGUAGGGGCAAGCGGAAUUCCUGGUGUAGCGGUGAAAUGCGCAGAUAUCAGGAGGAACACCGGUGGCGAAGGCGGCUACCUGGACCGGCUCUGACGCUGAUGCGCGAAAGCCAGGGGAGCAAACGGG
RNAcentral lists this ribosomal RNA (253 nucleotides) under uncultured bacterium. Its description in RNAcentral is "partial 16S ribosomal RNA". It matches the Rfam family "Bacterial small subunit ribosomal RNA", at positions 524 to 776 of the family's 1533-position model. The record is from RNAcentral.